This 414-nucleotide ribosomal RNA is filed under the name Hermaea oliviae. RNAcentral's name for it is "partial 16S ribosomal RNA". It matches the Rfam family "Archaeal large subunit ribosomal RNA", at positions 1946 to 2664 of the family's 2987-position model. Lineage: Eukaryota; Metazoa; Mollusca; Gastropoda; Hermaeidae. The record is from RNAcentral.
GAACCUGCCCAGUGCUAAAUGUUAACGGCCGCAGUACCUUGACUGUGCUAAGGUAGCAUAAUCAGUUGGCUUUUAAAUGGAGUCGGGAAUGAAUGGACUAAUGGAGUGAAGCUGUCUCUUCCAUAUUAUAUUUAAUUUACUUAUUAAGUGAAAAUGCUUAAGUUGAAGAAAAAAGACGAGAAGACCCUAGGAGUUUUCACUAAAUAUUACUUAUGUAAUAUAUGUUUUUGUUGGGGCGACAUUGGAGUAGUUAUUUUUUAAACCUCCAUUAAUAUAUUUGCCGACUAUGUAUGGGAGAUUAAACUACCCUAGGGAUAACAGCGUAAUUCUUUAUGAGCUUGCGACCUCGAUGUUGGACUAGGAAUUUGGCAGGCUAGCCGCCUGUUUAUAUUGUUCUGUUCGAACUAUUUUUCC